GACGAACGCUGGCGGCGUGCUUAACACAUGCAAGUCGAGCGGUAAGGCCCUUUCGGGGGUACACGAGCGGCGAACGGGUGAGUAACACGUGGGUGACCUGCCCUCAGCUCUGGGAUAAGCCUGGGAAACCGGGUCUAAUACUGGAUAUGACUCCAUGACGCAUGUUGUGGGGGUGGAAAGCCUUGUGCGGCUGAGGAUGGGCCCGCGGCCUAUCAGCUUGUUGGG
This 225-nucleotide ribosomal RNA is filed under the name uncultured bacterium. Its description in RNAcentral is "partial 16S ribosomal RNA". It matches the Rfam family "Bacterial small subunit ribosomal RNA", at positions 28 to 253 of the family's 1533-position model. The record is from RNAcentral.